Molecule: non-coding RNA, 1647 nt
Organism: Paramuricea clavata
Lineage: Eukaryota; Metazoa; Cnidaria; Anthozoa; Malacalcyonacea; Plexauridae
Source: the annotation of a GenBank genome assembly
UUGCGAAUCUUUGAAAGAUGUUUGUCGAAAAAUUGUGGUUGUUUGUCGCGAUUUUUUACUCUGAAAAUUUUGAUUUUUGGAAGGUACGUCUUUAUAAUUAUUUUAUUUGUGACCUUAAUUGUACGAUUUUUGUUUCUAUGUGGUUGUCGUAUCAUGUUUCAGUUAUGUUUAUAAUCUGGCAUUGAAUUACCCUUGGUUUCGGGUCAGUACCCAUGUCACAAAAGUGGCUUUGAUACUCGCCGGGGAUUAAAUGCUUUUUAAAUCAGGAAAUUCAACAUCAUUUACGGCAUCGAAUGCAGGAAGGGUUAUUCUUUCUAUUGAUACUUCAAAACACAAAAAAUCCCCGCGAACUGACGAGUUAUCGCGGUUUGAAAAUGGGGUAUAUUUCGGUGCUAUAAAAGAAAUGGCAUUGAUAUACGCCAGGGGUUAAAUAGUUAAAUCGGGAAAUUCAGUAAAAUUCACAUCAUUGAAUUCGGAAAGGUCAAGGUUUUAGCUGAUACUUUAAAACAUUAACAAUCUCCUCCAACCGACGAGUUAUCGCGGUUUGAAAAUGGGGUAUAUUUCGGGUAUAGUGCACAUGACACGAAAACGGCUUUGAUAUAUGCAGGGGGCUAAAUGGUUUAUAAAUCGGGAAAUUCAAUAAAAUUCACAUUGAUUCAGUAAGGGUUACUCUUUCUCUUAGUACUUUAAAACAUAAAAAGGCCCCUGAAACCGACGAGUAAUCGUUGUUUGAAAAUGGGGUAUUUUGCUUUUGUUGUCGCCAAUCGCGGGAAAAGAGGACUCUACAGGAAAGAUGGCGCGAGCGCGACGUAAACAAGCCAGCUUUUCUAACAUAUUGUUCCCGAUUGUAUCAUUUGUUUUUAUAGAAUUCGAGUUUAUUGGAGCAAAAAAUGGAAUCUAUUAAUGAUGGCGAUGUUGUUAUUGUUGAUCAUGAUUUAGAAAAUGAGGAAACUCAAAUUACUGAUACGCCAAAAAAACCAACAAGAAAAACCUGAAGACUAUAUCUCGUGUGGAAAGUUCAUUCAGUCGAGCUUUCGUUCAUAUAAUGUGCCAUUCCAUUUAAUAUAAGCACCCCCCCCUGUUGAGGGGUCCCUGGGGUAACUUCCACAAUGGGGUAACUUCCAAAAAUCACAUCCAAGGGGGUUCUAAAAUGUUUAUAUCCCCAAGCUACUCUCUAGAAAAAUUUAAGGUAAAAACCCCCUCCCCCCCUAUAGGAUAUCCAGAUUCCAGACCCCUCUAUAGGGAGGGGGAGGCAGCUUAUAUUAAAUUGAAUGGCCCAAUAUUCAAAGUCCUGGCACAUCAGCAAAGGUAUAAUAAAAACAAUUAUGGUAGAUGAAAUUGUACUUAAAACUUUGUUAUUCUUUAUUAUUCUAUUCUUUAAAUUGUAUUUGUAUACAGGGAUGGAUCCAGCAUGAUCUGGUAGGGCGUUCUCUGGUACCGACUGCCGAGUUGUGUUGGUCAUGUGUGUCGCCCGCCCAUCAACUACUGUAUUUGAAUUGUAAUUGUUGUUCACAGUUCACUUAUUAUCAUGUUACUAGAAAAUACAUGCAUGCAGAAACCCUCGCCUUGCUGACAAAACCAUUCCAAAGUUGUUGUCAUGGUAACACGAUAAUUUUUUAAAAAUAUUCUUACAAAUGAAAAAUCGCC